AGUUCAUAGAUGCAUAAAUGGAAUAUGGCAUAACAUUUAUAGAAGCACCUAAAUCAAGCAUGGCAGAUUUGAAAUGGGUAUUACCAAUGACACACGGAAUUGUAAAACUCCCCGGAUCUUUGCAUUUGGGGGGUAGUUUAUGUUGCAAGAUGGCGGAGACAUUCUCACUUACAUGUACCACCUCUUUCUCCCGGACACGUUUCUUUGUUGUACAAAGCUUCUUUAAACACUUGGCAUACUUCAGGAUUUGCUUUAUGGCAUCAAGGAGGGGAAUGUUGACAUGCACCUUUCUAAAUGUCUCUAGAACAUCUUUUUCCUCCUAUUCGUUCUUUGAUUGCAAAAUCUGCUAGGAAAGGGGACAUUCAAAGGAAAAACAUUAGUCGGAAUUGAAUUUAACACAUUCUUACCCUUAUUGGAUGAAUUGGA
Molecule: long non-coding RNA, 426 nt
Filed under: Malus domestica (apple)
Lineage: Eukaryota; Viridiplantae; Streptophyta; Magnoliopsida; Rosales; Rosaceae
Description: long non-coding RNA (MDOM_LNC002645)
Source: RNAcentral